CAGCAGUAAGGGAAGGGCUUGGGACAGGAAAAGGUGUUUUUAGAGUCUCUUGUCCUGUUGGAGUUGUCUGAACUCCAGGAUUGGCCAGAGGGUCCUGCUGAUUGACAGGCUGUUAGUCAGGAGAUCCCGCUGAUUGACAGGCAUUUCUGUCAGCACCUGAUUGAUGUUUCUUUUCCACGCAGGCUGCUUUGUUCUAAGUCCCUGCCACCGACCUGACAAAAAGAAUAUUAUGUGUAUUUCAAAUUGAAUUUCAUUAGAAAGACAUCUGUUUGUAUGUCCUUCUAUUAAUGUUACUAAUUUUGAUACUUGCUUAAGGCCCUAAUCACAUAGAACUGCAUUUUAGAGACUUUUCCAGACUAUUUUUUUUUUUUUUAGAACAUGAAAGUAAUUUGUAGUUUGAUACUUUGGUAGGAUCGUCUUUUCCCCUGACACUCAUUCUUCCCAAUUGUUUGAGCAUCCACCAUGAUUACCUGCAGUGAAAAAUUUUCACUUUUCACAUUUGUGGAACUACAUUUUCAGGUAAUAUUUUCAGGUUGGAUGUCUAGAUCAGAGGACAAGUGAAUAUUUAGCUUUGGUGUACACUAAAUUUUCCCUUUCCUUGUAUCUUGUAUCUUGGUAGUUUCUGACUGGACCGUGUUCAAAAAUAAUUUUAGAGAGGGGCUGAGGAUGUAGCUCAGUGGUAGAGUGCUUGCCUAGCAUGCACAGGGCCUGGUUUCAAUUCCCCGGUACUUAAAAACAAAAAUUAUUCUGGAUAAAAAUAAGGAACAUACUUAAAAUUUAACUACAAG
This 788-nucleotide long non-coding RNA is filed under the name Marmota monax (woodchuck). The record is from RNAcentral. Lineage: Eukaryota; Metazoa; Chordata; Mammalia; Rodentia; Sciuridae.